AAACAUGUCAGUGAGCAAUCACCGCUGUGAAGGUGCUGCAUGGUUGUCGUCAGCUCGUGCCGUGAGGUGUCGGCUUAAGUGCCAUAACGAGCGCAACCCUUAUCUUUAGUUACUAACAGGUUAUGCUGAGGACUCUAGAGAGACUGCCGUCGUAAGAUGUGAGGAAGGUGGGGAUGACGUCAAAUCAGCACGGCCCUUACGUCCGGGGCUACACACGUGUUACAAUGGGGGGUACAGAAGGCAGCUAGCGGGUGACCGUAUGCUAAUCCCAAAAGCCUCUCUCAGUUCGGAUCGAAGUCUGCAACCCGACUUCGUGAAGCUGGAUUCGCUAGUAAUCGCGCAUCAGCCACGGCGCGGUGAAUACGUUCCCGGGUCUUGUACA
RNAcentral lists this ribosomal RNA (382 nucleotides) under Bacteroides fragilis. RNAcentral's name for it is "bacterial SSU rRNA". It matches the Rfam family "Bacterial small subunit ribosomal RNA", at positions 1005 to 1387 of the family's 1533-position model. The record is from RNAcentral. Lineage: Bacteria; Pseudomonadati; Bacteroidota; Bacteroidia; Bacteroidales; Bacteroidaceae.